CGCGCUAUACAUAUCCGCGCGCUAUCUGCUCUGAUCGUUUGAUGAUGCCGGUGUACCCGAGCGAUGCUGACUUGAGUGUGAUUGUGUGAUUAACGCGGCGGUGCGACGAUUCAGCGCGAUCCAGACCAUCCACCAAGCCCAAGGAACUUGACAGGAGAAUUGAUUUUACGUUACGCACAUCUGACAGAAUCAGAGUUUGAUAACAUAGUCGCAGAAUGGUUACGAUUCGCCAAACAGAGGAAAGAAAGAGAUGGAAAAAACAAAGAAAAAGAGAUUCAGCAAAAUAAAGGCGAUGAUGAACAGCGUUUAGUAUAACAUACUAAUCCCGGUUAAGUUAUCGUAAUACGGGAAUACAAGAAAAGUUUAAAUACACACGCACUGGCGAAAAUGAUAUGUAAAAAAAACGGAACACAUCAAGUAAUUACAUGCGCAUCUGCAAAAAAAUAUUUAAAACAAAAAAUCGUACGUUUUCGUAGUAUAGAGCGAAAAAAAAAACGCGCGCAAUGGCAACAACAAACGAUAUGUAAAGAAAGACGAAAUAAAUCGAUUAAUCCCA
This is a long non-coding RNA of Monomorium pharaonis (pharaoh ant), 556 nucleotides long. RefSeq lists it as uncharacterized. The transcript has 3 exons. NCBI's taxonomy places the organism in Eukaryota, Metazoa, Arthropoda, Insecta, Hymenoptera, Formicidae. The record is from RefSeq and is a predicted model, not a curated record.